This 397-nucleotide ribosomal RNA is filed under the name Escherichia coli. Its description in RNAcentral is "partial 23S ribosomal RNA". It matches the Rfam family "Bacterial large subunit ribosomal RNA", at positions 844 to 1239 of the family's 2925-position model. The record is from RNAcentral. Lineage: Bacteria; Pseudomonadati; Pseudomonadota; Gammaproteobacteria; Enterobacterales; Enterobacteriaceae.
GAUAGCUGGUUCUCCCCGAAAGCUAUUUAGGUAGCGCCUCGUGAAUUCAUCUCCGGGGGUAGAGCACUGUUUCGGCAAGGGGGUCAUCCCGACUUACCAACCCGAUGCAAACUGCGAAUACCGGAGAAUGUUAUCACGGGAGACACACGGCGGGUGCUAACGUCCGUCGUGAAGAGGGAAACAACCCAGACCGCCAGCUAAGGUCCCAAAGUCAUGGUUAAGUGGGAAACGAUGUGGGAAGGCCCAGACAGCCAGGAUGUUGGCUUAGAAGCAGCCAUCAUUUAAAGAAAGCGUAAUAGCUCACUGGUCGAGUCGGCCUGCGCGGAAGAUGUAACGGGGCUAAACCAUGCACCGAAGCUGCGGCAGCGACACUGUGUGUUGUUGGGUAGGGGAGCGU